AUCCCGCGAACCAUCGAGUUUUUGAACGCAAGUUGCGCCCGAGGCCUUCUGGUCGAGGGCACGCCUGCCUGGGCGUCA
RNAcentral lists this ribosomal RNA (78 nucleotides) under Megathyrsus maximus. Its description in RNAcentral is "partial 5.8S ribosomal RNA". It matches the Rfam family "5.8S ribosomal RNA", at positions 79 to 154 of the family's 154-position model. Rfam says of the family: 5.8S ribosomal RNA (5.8S rRNA) is a component of the large subunit of the eukaryotic ribosome. It is transcribed by RNA polymerase I as part of the 45S precursor that also contains 18S and 28S rRNA. The record is from RNAcentral. Lineage: Eukaryota; Viridiplantae; Streptophyta; Magnoliopsida; Poales; Poaceae.